RNAcentral lists this ribosomal RNA (938 nucleotides) under uncultured archaeon. RNAcentral's name for it is "bacterial SSU rRNA". It matches the Rfam family "Archaeal small subunit ribosomal RNA", at positions 1 to 923 of the family's 1478-position model. The record is from RNAcentral.
UUCCGGUUGAUCCCGCCGGACCCCACUGCUAUCGAGGUGGGACUAAGCAAUGCUAGUCGAACGACCCGAACUAUGUCGGGGAGUGGCACACGGCUCAGUAACACGUAGCUAACCUAACCUAAGGACGGAGAAAACCUCGGGAAACUGAGGUUAAUAACCGAUAGGUAUGAUGUCCUGGAAUGGUAUCAUGCCCAAAGGUGUUCACAGCAUGUUGUUAACAUGCCUUAGGAUGGGGCUGCGGCUGAUCAGGCUGUUGGUGAGGUAAUGGCUCACCAAACCUUUGACCAGUACGGGCCAUGAGAGUGGUAGCCCGGAGAUGGACACUGAGACAAGGGUCCAGGUUCUACGGAACGCAGCAUGCGCGAAACCUCCUCAAUGCACUCAAGUGCGAAGGGGUUACCUCGAGUGCGACCUGAUGAAGGUCGCUUUUACGAAGUAUAACAAGCUUCGAGAAUAAGAGGGGGGCAAGACUGGUGUCAGCCGCCGCGGUAACACCAGCCCCUCGAGUGGUGGGGAUGAUUAUUUGGCCUAAAGCGUCCGUAGCCUGCCGUAUAAGUCUCCCGUUGAAUCCAGCGUCUCAAGCGUUGGACUGCGGGAGAUACUGCACGGCUAGAGGGUGGGAGAGGUAUGCGGUAUUCUGGGGGUAGGGGCGAAAUCCAUUGAUCCCCGGAGGACCACCAGUGGCGAAGGCUGCAUACUAGAACACGCCUGACGGUCAGGGACGAAAGCUGGGGUAGCGAACCGGAUUAGAUACCCGGGUAGUCCCAGCCGUAAACGAUGCACGCUAGGUGUUGGGUCGGCCACGAGCCGCCCCAGUGCCGCAGGGAAGCCGAUAAGCGUGCCGCCUGGGGAGUACGGCCGCAAGGCUGAACUUAAAGGAAUUGGCGGGGAGCACCACCAGGCGUGAAGCCUGCGAUUAAUUGGAGUCAACGCCGGAA